This 541-nucleotide ribosomal RNA is filed under the name uncultured eukaryote. RNAcentral's name for it is "SSU rRNA". It matches the Rfam family "Eukaryotic small subunit ribosomal RNA", at positions 4 to 583 of the family's 1831-position model. The record is from RNAcentral.
CUGGUUGAUUCUGCCAGUAGCAUAUGCUUUCCUCCUGGAGAUUAAGCCAUGCAAGUCUAAGUAUAAGUUAUAUACGGCGAAACUGCGAACGGCUCAUUAAAACAGUUAUAAUUUAUUUGAUGAUGUUUUUAUAUGGAUAACCAUUUUGGGAAACUAUGGCUAAUACAUGCUUACAGACCUUCGGGUUGUAUUUAUUAGUUUUUUCCGAUCUCUGAUCGUGAUGAGUCAUAAUAACUGAUCGAAGCGCACUUGUGUGUGCUAAAUCUUUCAAGUUUCUGCCCUAUCAGAUUGUUGGUAGUGUAUUGGACUACCAAGUCGAUCACGGGUAACGGAGAAUUAGGGUUCGAUUCCGGAGAGGGAGCCUGAGAAACGACUACCACAGCUACGGUAGGCAGCAGGUGCGUAAAUUACCCAAUCCAAACUCUGGAAGGUAGUUACAGGAAAUUUGUUGCAUAGGCUUCUAGCCUAGACACAAACGAACACAUGUAAGUAUUGUGUGUUUAAUUGGAGGGCAAGUUUUGGUGCCAGCAGCCGCGGUAAU